GAGUGGGGCUAUGUAGAAUAGAUAUUAAUUCGUUUUUGAAAGAUAUGGGUAAAAUAUAAACCCUAGUCCAUGUAAUAGAAAAUUCAGGAGGACGGAUGAGUGAUUUAGUUCUUGAAAGCGGUUGAUUACAAAAUUACGGUUAGAAUCUGGAGAACCAGGGGAGAAGUAUAUAGGAGUUGUAGAAGUUAAUUAGGGUGCCAGACUGUGAUAGUCAUGAGCCGAGGGCCAUCGCUGUGAUAGUUGUGAGCCGGGGUAAGCUUGGUGCUACCUCUUUUCUUUUGUUUGUUAUUUUCUUUGAAUAAGAGGAUUGAGAGUUUCUGAAUAUUGUGAAGUGAAUUAUGGAAUGGAAAUGUGAUUGGUAUUAUUUGAGGAGAAGAAAGAUUGAUUGCUGAAAUCUGAUUGUAGUUCAGCAGAGAGAAUCAGUCUGUGUUUGUGUGAAACACCGUAAUGUGAAUGGCAGUUCUGUGUGAAGAAUUCCGGUGAUGUGAAUGAGGGUAAUUGUGUGCUGAAAGCUGUGAGGGCGCAGUAUUACAGUUGGAGAUUAUGAGGGUGAAUAUAUUGGUGGAAAUAGCAGUUAUUGGUAUGACUGAAUUGCUGUAAGGAAGAGACCGAUAAGGUGAAGGAGGAG
Molecule: long non-coding RNA, 628 nt
Filed under: Physcomitrium patens
Lineage: Eukaryota; Viridiplantae; Streptophyta; Bryopsida; Funariales; Funariaceae
Description: long non-coding RNA (PPAT_LNC015018)
Source: RNAcentral